AACGAACGCUGGCGGUGCGUUUUAAGCAUGCAAGUCGAACGGCAAGAAGGUGCUUGCACUUUCCUAGAGUGGCGGACUGGUGAGUAACGCGUGGGUGAUCUACCUUUAAGAUGGGGAUAGCUUUUAGAAAUAAGAGAUAAUACCGAAUGUGCUUAUUGAAUUAUGAUUUGAUAAGGAAAGGGGCGAAUGCCUCGCUUAAAGAUGAGCCUGCGUCCCAUUAGCUAGUUGGCAAGGUAAAGGCUUACCAAGGCGAUGAUGGGUAUCCGACCUGAGAGGGUGAACGGACACAUUGGGACUGAGAUACGGCCCAAACUCCUACGGGAGGCAGCAGCUGAGAAUCUUCCGCAAUGGACGAAAGUCUGACGGAGCGACACCGCGUGAAUGAUGAAGGCCGGAAGGUUGUAAAGUUCUUUUGCAGACAAAGAAUAAGUGUAGGAGGGAAUGCCUACAUGAUGACGGUAGUUAUGUGAAUAAGCCCCGGCUAAUUACGUGCCAGCAGCCGCGGUAAUACGUAAGGGGCGAGCGUUGUUCGGAAUUAUUGGGCGUAAAGGGCAUGUAGGCGGUUUAGUAAGCCUGAUGUGAAAUCUACGAGCUUAACUCGUAAACUGCAUUGGGUACUGCUGAUCUUGAAUCAUAGAGGGGGAACUGGAAUUCCAAGUGUAGGGGUGGAAUCUGUAGAUAUUUGGAAGAACACCGGUGGCGAAGGCGGGUUUCUAGCUAAUGAUUGACGCUGAUAUGCGAAGGUGCGGGGAGCAAACAGGAUUAGAUACCCUGGUAGUCCGCACAGUAAACUAUGUACACUAGGUGUUGGGGUAAGACUCAGUGCCGUUGCAAACGCAAUAAGUGUACCGCCUGGGGAGUAUGCCCGCAAGGGUGAAACUCAAAGGAAUUGACGGGGGCCCACACAAGCGGUGGAGCAUGUGGUGUAAUGCGAUGGUACGCGAGGAACCCUACCUGGGUUUGACAUCAAGAGGGAUAUGAUAGAGAUAUGGUAGCGUAGCAAUACGACUCUUGACAGGUGCUGCAUGGGCUGUCGUCAGCUCGUGCCGUGAGGUGUUUGGGUUAGUUCCGCCACGAGCGCAUUCCUACUGCCAGUUACUACAGGUAAGCUGAGGACUCUGGCGAACUGCCGUGAUAACCCGAGAAGGUGGGAUUCGUCAGUAUAUG
Molecule: ribosomal RNA, 1167 nt
Filed under: Treponema sp. oral taxon 254
Lineage: Bacteria; Pseudomonadati; Spirochaetota; Spirochaetia; Treponematales; Treponemataceae
Description: bacterial SSU rRNA
Rfam family: Bacterial small subunit ribosomal RNA
Source: RNAcentral